This 206-nucleotide ribosomal RNA is filed under the name uncultured bacterium. RNAcentral describes it as "partial 16S ribosomal RNA". It matches the Rfam family "Bacterial small subunit ribosomal RNA", at positions 568 to 774 of the family's 1533-position model. The record is from RNAcentral.
CGUGUAGGCGGCCCGGUAAGUCCGCUGUGAAAGUCGGGGGCUCAACCCUCGGAAGCCGGUGGAUACUGUCGGGCUCGAGUACGGAAGAGGCGAGUGGAAUUCCUGGUGUAGCGGUGAAAUGCGCAGAUAUCAGGAGGAACACCUAUUGCGAAGGCAGCUCGCUGGGACGUUACUGACGCUGAGACGCGAAAGCGUGGGAGCAGACA